CCCCUCCGCCGCCCCAGCCAGUCGCAGUGUACGGGCUUCUCAUUGCAGUGGCUUCUCUUGCUGAGGAGCACAGGCUCUAGAGCACUCGGGCUUUAGUAGUUGUAACACAUGGGCUCAGUAGUUGCAGUUCCUGGGUUCUAGAGCACAGGCUCAACAGUUGUGGUGCCCAGGCUUGAUUGCCCCAUGGCAUGUGGGAUCUUCCCAGAUCAAGGAUGGAAUCCAUGUCUCCUGCAUUGGCACGUGGCUUCUUUACCACUGAACCACCAGGGAAGCCCUAAAGCUUUCUGAUUGGCGCAAACCACCCAGCAGGAGGACGCUUACUGGAGCCUGACUAGAAAGAGUAACAAUUUUAUGUGCUCAGCCCUAGGUUCGGACUAAGGAGACCUGGUAGUGAUUCGUAUAUCUGUUGGUUUUGGACGAGGCCUGAGAAUCUACAUUUCUUGCAAGUUCCUAGGUGAUGCUGAAGAUGCAUGUCUGUGGACCACACUGCAGGGAAUUGGUGACCAUUUCAAAAUGCACAUCCUAAGAGCAAUGAAACACAGAAAAAGAAACCAAAAUGGGAAGGGACACAGGAGAGGCAAAAGUUGUUGAAGAUGAAAGUGAUCCAGCAAGAGACUAACGUGACAGGAUAAGUCUUCAAGAAAGAUAUCUGCAAAGAAGAUGUCUGUCCCCCCUUAUCACAGGCACAGGAGAUGAACAGAACUAGAGCUCGAGGAAACUGCUUAACUUUUCCCAAGGUGCCCCAUUAUGUGACCACUGGACCCAGCUUUUCUACAAUGAGACUACCUGAAUGUCUUACUGGUGACCACUUAAGCUCUUCUGAUUCGUGCUGGCUAAUUUUAUAGGACCGUUUUUACUAAAUAUUUCCAACACACUAUAUCCUGUUGUUUAGAAGACCAUAUUUUAGAAGACUCAAAUCUUGGUUUUUUAUUAGGUCACUAUCUACACCCUUCUCAGA
Molecule: long non-coding RNA, 958 nt
Organism: Bos taurus (domestic cattle)
Lineage: Eukaryota; Metazoa; Chordata; Mammalia; Artiodactyla; Bovidae
Source: Ensembl